UCCUCAUGGAGGCAUACGAGGAGGUAAAAGAUAUAAUUAAGAAGAAAGGCAACACCGCCACAGUGAUAAAGCAAAGAGAAAAAGCGUGGCAAAGUAUUGCAGACCGCCUGAAUGCAUUAAACAUGAACGGGCCAAAACGGACAUGGCAGCAGGUCAAAAUCAAAUACAAGAACAUUCUGCAGAAUGCAGUGAAAAAGAAUACCCACAGACAAGGCACGGGUGGUGGGUCACCAAAGGCUGACCUUACCCCAGCAGAGGACAUGGCCUUGGAGCUAAAUAAAGGCAGGCCCAUCUUAGAGGGGAUCCCUGGGGGGAAAGAGACGAGCAAAGGUUCCUCCCAAGAUGCCACCCGCUUCAUUCAAGUGUCUGGCAGCACUGUGUUCCUGUUAGAGCCACCAGCACAAGCACCAGACGAUGCUGAUCCAGGUGAAGGCCCCAGUGCAGCAGCAACAGCACAUGAUGGAGACGAUGAUGAUGAGGAGGAGACCAUCUCUCUGGAUUCCAGAAGGCAUGAGGUAUCAUGGACCCAGAUGCUACACAGUGGGAAAACCAGCCUGGCAACAUAAGCUCACAAGCUAUCAGAAAGUUGUAUGGCAACCACCUCCGGCGCCAAAUAGAACUGGCAGACAUAGACAUUCAGUACAAGAAGAAAAAGAUGGAAAAUCUUGCACUGGAGUCCGAAAUAAAAAAGAGGACAAUUAGGAAACUGGACCUUGAAAUAAAAAAACUUGAGAGGGAGGUGAGAUAUGCCUUCAAUGUACACUGUAUGCUAACUGUAACACAAAUGUAUUAAUCAUUAUUUGUAUUUCCUCCCCCAGCUCCAAGAAGAUGACACAGCUCAAAAUAAAAAUUAGCAAUCAGUACAACCAAGUCAUCGUUAUAAGGCAUCGCCCUCUUUUGCCCACCCCCCCAGCACCAGGUCUGGCCACUAGCCUAUAUGAAGGCCCAAAAUUGUGUGUUCCUUUCUGCUCUGACAAUGGCAUGCCCAUUCGUGCGAGAUGUGGUGGAUGAAGAAGCACUUGUGCUGAGGAGAGCCUUCAGGCGAGAAAGGGUCUUCAGGGACUGGUUGGACCCACUGGCCUUCCCUGAUGACCAUCUAUA
RNA transcript from Oncorhynchus gorbuscha (pink salmon), 1101 nucleotides. RefSeq lists it as uncharacterized. The transcript has 8 exons. The record is from RefSeq and is a predicted model, not a curated record. Lineage: Eukaryota; Metazoa; Chordata; Actinopteri; Salmoniformes; Salmonidae.